UACGUAGGGUCCGAGCGUUGUCCGGAAUUAUUGGGCGUAAAGAGCUCGUAGGCGGUUUGUCGCGUCUGCUGUGAAAUCCCGAGGCUCAACCUCGGGCCUGCAGUGGGUACGGGCAGACUUGAGUGCGGUAGGGGAGAAUGGAAUUCCUGGUGUAGCGGUGGAAUGCGCAGAUAUCAGGAGGAACACCGGUGGCGAAGGCGGGUCUCUGGGCCGUAACUGACGCUGAGGAGCGAAAGCAUGGGGAGCGAACAGG
RNAcentral lists this ribosomal RNA (253 nucleotides) under uncultured bacterium. Its description in RNAcentral is "partial 16S ribosomal RNA". It matches the Rfam family "Bacterial small subunit ribosomal RNA", at positions 524 to 776 of the family's 1533-position model. The record is from RNAcentral.